GUGACUGUGGCUCAGUGGAAAGAGUGGUUGUCUUGCAAUCUGAAGGCUGUGGGUUUGAUUCCAGUUUCCUUCUGCCACA
Characodon lateralis is the source of this 79-nucleotide non-coding RNA. NCBI's taxonomy places the organism in Eukaryota, Metazoa, Chordata, Actinopteri, Cyprinodontiformes, Goodeidae. The record is from the annotation of a GenBank genome assembly.